GCGUGCGCCCCUGACGCGCUGUAGCCUCGGGCCCCGGCUGGGCGCCACGCUACGGAAGCAGCGUAAGGCGUAGCGGGUAGGCCGGGCGGGACGGCGGGCGCUAGCUACGGAGGCGUUUGUAAGGUUGCCGGGCCGAGACGGAUCUUCGCGGCCAAAACGCGCUAAGCCGGCGGAGCAUCGCGGCUGGCGCGAAGGGGCCCUUGGUGCCCUCCGGUCGAAGUUGUGGGUCAACCGACUGAGGGCCGGCACUAGGGCCGCGCCCGCCUAGACCGAUCGCGAGCGCUGAGGAGGCGCCGCCGGCUCGCUAAGCCGGCUGCCCUUUCUCCGGUGUGGGCACUCUCCUCUCUCCAUGCUUCCAUCCGUGUGCCACCGGCCAGAGGUGACCAGGCCCGGCUCUCUACGUGGCCGCUGUCAGGGGGGCCAUGGGGAGCUCCGCCUCCUCCCUGGCUGCCGAGACGGAGUCAGACCACGGCUUCCCUGGGGGGCCACCCUACCCAGGGCCCCCAGCAGCAGCUGGCUGGUGUAGGAGUGGCCCUGGGGAGACUGUCUGGGGAAGUGCUCUGGUCACCAGACAGCAUCCACGACCCAGGGCCCAAAGCCACACUCAUUCUCCUGGGUCUAUGGCCACAGUUGGGGAGUGGUCCUGUGCACGCUGCACCUUCCUGAACCCUGCCGGCCAACGCCAGUGCUCCAUCUGUGAGGCCCCCCGACAUAAGCCAGAUCUUGACCAGAUCCUUCGUCUCAGCGUAGAGGAGCAGAAAUGGCCCUGUGCACGCUGUACAUUCCGGAACUUUUUAGGCAAAGAGGCUUGCGAAGUGUGUGGCUUUACCCCAGAGCCUGUUCCUGGAGCCCCUCUGCUGCCCAUUAUCAAUGGGGUCCUGCCCAAGCCACCCACCAUACUGGUGGAGCCAAAGGGCAGCGGUAAGGAGGAAGCAGGCCCAGUGCGGACAGCAGGGCUAGUGGCCACAGAGCCAGCCAGAGGGCGCCCUGAAGGAGAAGAAGAAAGAGAAGAAAGAGGAGAAGAAGAAGAAAAGGAGCAGGAGGGCGAGGGGGAGAGGGCAGAGCCUGGCAGUGGCUGGGCAUGCCAGCGCUGCACACUGCAUAACACACCAGUGGCCAGCUCUUGUUCUGCCUGUGGGGGACCCCGGAAACUGUCAUUGCCUCGCAUCCCCCCAGAAGCCCUGGUGGUUCCCGAGGUUGUAGCCCCUACUGGCUUUCAUGUCGUUCCUGCUCCAUCCCAGCCUGUCCUCCCUGGGGAAGGUGCUGAGGCUGAUUCUCCUUCUACCAGCCAGGGUCCCACCUCCACUGACCAGGAGCCACCCAGGGUACCACUCUUCAGCCCCUUCUCACCCACCCUACAGAACAACCCUGUACCCAGAAGCCGCCGGGAGGUCCCCCCUCAGCUUCAGCCACCUGUGCCUGAGGCUGUUCAGUCCUCAGCCUCCACAAGCUCCAAAGGGCCCCAGCAGGGCCCUGGAAGAGCUGCAGCUGGGGCCUCCCGCCUCGCUGAGCUACUCUCAGGCAAGGAGCUGCUGCCAGGCAAGCGACUGAGUGUGUUGGAGGAGGAGGUCCCAGAGAGCAGCCCUGCCCGCUGUGAGUCGUGCAGUGAUGUCAUUGACCUAGCUGGGGACAUUGUGCGCUACACACCUGCCAGUCCCUCCAGCCCUGACUUCACCACCUGGUCAUGUGCCAGGUGUACACUUAGGAACCCCACAACAGCCCCCAGGUGUUCAGUGUGUGGUGGCUCCAAGCUGCAUGGUUUCCAGGAGCACAGUGAACCCCCUACCCACUGCCCUGACUGUGGUGCCAACAAGCCUGGCCCCUGUGUUGGCUCCUGUGGACGAGCUCCCUCAGCACACAAGGCUGUCCGUCUCUUGCCCGAUCGCCCGGGUCAGUGGGCCUGCCCGGCCUGUACUCUGAUCAACACACCUCGGGCCAAGCACUGUGCAGCCUGCCAUACACCACAGCUUCUGGUGACCCAGUGCCGGGGGGCUACCCCCCUGAGGCGCAGGGAGAGUAUGCAUGUGGAGAAGCGGAGGCAGACAGAUGAGGGCGAGGCCAAGGCACUCUGGGAGAACAUAGUGGCUUUCUGCAGAGAGAAUAGUGUGAACUUUGUGGAUGACAGCUUCCCCCCCGGGCCUGCAUCUGUCGGCUUCCCAGUGGGCGACAGCGUCCAGCAGCGAGUGAAACAGUGGCUGAGGCCCCACGAAAUCAACUGCUCUGUCUUCAGGGACCACGGCACUCCGUGGUCAGUCUUCCACACCCUGAGGCCCUCUGACAUCCUACAGGGGCUGCUGGGGAACUGCUGGUUCCUGAGUGCGUUGGCAGUACUGGCUGAACGUCCCGACCUCGUGGAGAGGGUGAUGGUCACACGUAGCCUAUGUGCAGAGGGUGCCUACCAGGUGCGGCUGUGCAAAGAUGGCACGUGGACAACAGUGCUGGUGGAUGACAUGCUGCCCUGUGAUGAGGCUGGGUUUUUGCUCUUCUCACAGGCACAGCGGAAGCAGUUAUGGGUGGCCCUCAUUGAGAAGGCACUGGCCAAGCUGCACGGCUCCUACUUUGCCCUCCAGGCAGGGCGUGCCAUUGAAGGUCUGGCCACACUAACCGGAGCCCCCUGUGAGAGCCUGGCGCUGCAGGUCAGCUCCACUAACCCCCGAGAGGAGCCUGUUGACACUGAUCUCAUCUGGGCCAAAAUGCUGAGUUCUAAAGAGGCUGGGUUCCUCAUGGGUGCGUCCUGCGGGGGAGGUAACAUGAAGGUAGAUGAUGCUGCUUACGAGAGCCUGGGUCUGCGCCCCCGCCAUGCUUACUCUGUCUUGGAUGUUCGUGAUGUUCAGGGCUCCAGGCUCCUGCGACUCCGGAACCCAUGGGGCCGUUUCUCCUGGAAUGGCAGUUGGUCAGAUGAGUGGCCACACUGGCCAGGGCACCUGCGAGCUGAGCUCAUGCCACACGGCAGCAGUGAGGGUGUCUUCUGGAUGGAGUAUAGUGACUUUAUCAGGUACUUCGACUCUGUGGACAUCUGCAAGGUGCACUCAGACUGGCAAGAGGCACGGGUUCAGGGCUGUUUCCCAAGCACUGCCGGUGGGCCUGUGGGUGUGACAGCACUCACAGUGCUGGAGCGUGCCUCACUGGAGUUUGCCCUCUUCCAGGAGGGCAGCAGGCGCUCGGAUUCAGUAGACAGCCACCUCCUGGAUCUGUGCAUCCUAGUGUUCCGGGCCACUUUUGGCACUGGUGGCCGCCUGAGCCUGGGCCGCCUCUUGGCCCACAGCAAACGUGCUGUUAAGAAGUUUGUGAACUGUGAUGUCAUGCUGGAGCCUGGGGAGUAUGCUGUGGUAUGCUGUGCCUUCAACCACUGGAACCCUGCUCCACCAGGGCCCCCUGCCCAGGGUAAGGGCCCCAGCCAGAUGAGGCCCACACCCUCCUUCCCAACCUCCGAGCCCCAAAGCCCACCCACGGGAAAGCUGCUGGCUCCCUUAUCCACACCCCCCACAGCCUCCAGCCCCUCAGCAGGGGUCCCCCGAGGUGCCCCCGAGCCACCCGGCCACGUACUCGCAGUGUACAGCUCCAGGCUGGUCAUGGUGGAGCCGGUGGAGGCGCAGCCAACCACACUGGCCGAUGCCAUCAUCCUGCUCACUGAGAGCCGGGGCGAGCGGCAUGAGGUGGGUGGGGUCCUGAUGGGGGAGGGCAGAGGGUGGGCAACCACCAGCCCUGGCCCACCCACCCUGUGCCUGUGCCCAGGGUCGAGAGGGCAUGACCUGCUAUUACCUGACUCAUGGCUGGGCGGGACUCAUCGUGGUAGUGGAGAACCGGCACCCCAAGUCCUACCUGCAUGUGCAAUGUGACUGCACCGACAGCUUCAAUGUGGUGUCCACACGUGGCAGCCUGCGCACCCAGGACAGUGUACCACCCCUGCACAGGUCCUGGUGAUCUUGUCUCAGCUGGAAGGCAAUGCUGGAUUCUCUAUCACCCAUCGCCUGGCACAUCGCAAGGCAGCCCAGGCCUUCCUCAGUGACUGGACAGCCUCUAGGGGUACCCACAGCCCCCCACUCACACCUGAUGUGGCCGGCCUACAUGGACCCCGGCCACUGUGACUGCAGUUCCCUAGGGCAAGGGCUGUGUGCAGAUCUACCCACCUGCCCCCCUACAUGCACUUUAUGAGGGAGACCCCCAAUGGAGGAUGCUUGAACCAGAAUCUCAGGACCCUGCCCAGGGAGCCGCCAGCCACAGGGUGCAGCCUCCCUUGGGCCUCCCUCCCCUCCUAUCCCACCCCAAGUACCCUCAGUACCCCACCAGGCCUCCCAGCUGCCAUGCAGAAUACCUCGAACCGGGUGGGCUUCAUUCCAGUACUUCUGUCUUGAGCCCUGGGGACAGCUUCAGAUGGCCAAGGCCCAAAGGGGGCGGCCCUGUGAAUAUGGGGUCACUUAUUAUGGAGAGGCAGCCCAGAUAAAUGUUCGCAGAACCAGUCCGGGUUUUAGAGGCCAUGCCCUGCUCGCCGUGAGAACCUGGGCAACCCUUUGUGGGGCUCAGAUCUGCUGCUGCUCCCCUUGUUUGUUCCCAAGCCCAGCUCCCUGCCCUAAUGAUCAGGGUCCUGAUAGCCCUGGCAUAUGAGCAGUGCAUUGCAGGAAGCAGAUGCCUGGUGGCCAUCGGCCAGGGCUUGGGGACAGCUACACCUCCUGCAACACUAUGCAAUUCCUGGAGCACCUGCCAGGAUCGAAGCCAUGAUGGAGCCACAGGACAGGAGCCAGUCCCAGCCCUGCUGUCUGGAGAAGUGCUUUGUCCUUAGUUUCCCUGGCCACAGUCAGCUCUGCCCAUGGCCUCAGUCUGUCCACAAAGAGGGAUACCCCCUACUCCGGUCCUAUCACAGGCACAUGUAAGGUGUGACUGACUACUCCCUCCCCUAGAUGAGGGAGCCAAGCUGCCCACCUGCCCAGCAUUCCCUCAGCUGCUUGUCAAAAUCAGAGCCCUUACCUGCCACAUGGACGCCUGAGUCAUUUCCUGGGCCACUGUUGUGCAGCCCCCUAGGUAGGGGCAGCUCCCAAGCCCACUGUCCCUGCCUCCAUGGGGCUUGCUAGGGUUUUUAUACCUAGAGAAACAUUCCCCUUCCCUCUGGGCCUCCUUUUACUCUGAGCUGUGAAUAUUUUUAACCCUGUAAAUAGGACCAGCUCUUCGAACACAGAGACUAUUUUAUCAGCUGUCAGUCCCUUCCUUGUUCGAUGAUGCACCCCAUAGGCCAUUUCCACUCAGGCUCCACGGACCAAAUAAAAGUGUUUUGUUUUGUAAGAA
This is an RNA transcript of Mus musculus (house mouse), 5280 nucleotides long. It is a transcript of the gene named calpain 15, with no coding region annotated. NCBI's taxonomy places the organism in Eukaryota, Metazoa, Chordata, Mammalia, Rodentia, Muridae. The record is from RefSeq and is marked validated. The transcript is spliced from 11 exons.